GAGCAGAGCAGAAUUAUUUUCUUUCAGUCCAAAAUUUGACAUGGAUGAACGAUUUUGUUUUAGAUGGGUAUUUGAUAUUGCUCUCCGCAAAUAACAAUGCCGGUCUCGGUCCAGCAUUUGAUUCGAGCUGACUAAUCCGACAGACCAGCAGGUUGAGGUGCUGGCCGCCUGAGGAGCGUGAGGCCGCCGGCGGGGUUGCUGCACCCAGGGCUUCUGAAGGAUCGCGUGACCGAGGCAGCAGGUGAAGUUGCCGCCCAGCGGAGCGCCAGGCCGGCAACAUAUCGAAGCAUCGCCACCACAGAUCCGAGCCGAAAGAGCUGCUCUUCUCCUCGGACGCGGAACCCUACUAUUAACCUGCAGUGGCAUAGGGUGUAUUUGGUUCACAAGGUUAGCAUUUGUUGGGUCACCCCUGCAGCUCGAACUAUUAGCAAUUAUUGGGUCUUGUUAUUGCCAUCCAUCUAUAACUGUAAAUAUUCAGAAAUAUGAAAUAUAAGCAAAUGAUGCUUACACCAAAA
This is a long non-coding RNA of Brachypodium distachyon (stiff brome), 515 nucleotides long. RefSeq lists it as uncharacterized. NCBI's taxonomy places the organism in Eukaryota, Viridiplantae, Streptophyta, Magnoliopsida, Poales, Poaceae. The record is from RefSeq and is a predicted model, not a curated record. The transcript has 2 exons.